UUCCAUCUGGAGAGUCCCACAUAGGACGAAAUGCACGUCCUGGAU
This 45-nucleotide non-coding RNA is filed under the name Schistosoma mattheei. The record is from RNAcentral. Lineage: Eukaryota; Metazoa; Platyhelminthes; Trematoda; Strigeidida; Schistosomatidae.